RNAcentral lists this unclassified non-coding RNA (1040 nucleotides) under Zea mays. RNAcentral's name for it is "misc RNA Zm00001eb177510". The record is from RNAcentral. Lineage: Eukaryota; Viridiplantae; Streptophyta; Magnoliopsida; Poales; Poaceae.
AGUCAUGGAGAGGUUGGGCCCUCAUAUUAAUGAUGGUUCCAGUGCUAGCAACAAGCGCUGCUCGGGCAUCGAGGCAGCUCUGGUGCCUUUGGCUGCAGACUUGGGUGAUAUUGAUGAAGGCAUUUCGAACUUGGUUAACCGUGCGGGCCUCGAGGCGUCUUCUGUGACUGCCUUGGCUCCGGUGCCACUGGUUCCAUUAAUGGCAAGAGCAGACAAGGAGGGAGAACAUCUAGUUUAUGAUCAUCGUGCGGGCCUCGAGACCCCUUCCUUGGGUGUCUCGGCUCCGGUGUACAUGGCUGCAUCGUCACCAAUUGAUGGAGCUGCUGCGGCUGAAACUCUGAUCUGCGUUCACCGUGCGGGCCUCGAGGCCCCUUCCUUGGGUGUUUCGGCUCCGGGGCGCUCUCAUGGAAUAUUGGAUCCCAAUUCUGUCAGAGGGGGGGCGUUGUCGGUUGCUGGGACUGUUUCCCCGCGGGCUCUGCUUGUAUAUUCUAGAAGACGCCCCAUUCUCGCAGAUGUUGGGGCGGACUCUGUUUCUGGGUCAGCAGACCGGGUGGAUGCUCUCGUGCGCAGUUCUCCGACGGGAAGGCAAGAGCUACUUGAGGGGCAUGCGGGGGAAGAUUGCUCCGCUGACUGUAUCUCGGCAUCGGUUUUGGACACCACGACAUCGGAUGUUGAUCUUUCGCUGGUGCAGGAUUUUUUGGCCACCAUCACUAAACCAGUUGACUGCAUCUUGGCCAGACCAGCUACCCAAAAGCGGCGACGUAAGCAGACGCCAAAAGAUUUUAUACCUAGAAGAAGCAAUAGACUGAAGAAGGAUGGUAGGGGGGCGCCUUCCACAGCUGUAAGAAAAAUAAGAGUGGAUAUUGCUAGAACCUUGGGGAUAUGGGCUGACCAGGAGGGAUUGGCACAAGAAGCUCUUGAUGAAUAUGGGCGGCUGUUUUCUAAGCCUCUAACUCAGGACCAUGUCGCUGCCUUAGCUGCACUGUUCGGUUGGGCAAUUCCGGAGAAUGCUGAUGCUGCAGAUUCACUGUUGGGACAGA